Molecule: long non-coding RNA, 598 nt
Filed under: Equus asinus (donkey)
Lineage: Eukaryota; Metazoa; Chordata; Mammalia; Perissodactyla; Equidae
Description: lncRNA (ENSEASG00005027318.1)
Source: RNAcentral
CGGGAGGAAAGACAGGGAAAGAGGAUGCGGAAGGAGAAUGAUAACAGCGCAAGGCCUUUUAAAAUCUGCUCAUUUCACUACGUCACUGGUAGUACACUGCCCAAACACUGCUCUCCAGGGACUCAAGGAGACUCUUCCCAAAGCAUAGUUCUUGCUUUUUUUAAGCCUCUAUCAGUUCUGCAGCCGACGUGUCUCUGUGAUGGAUUCUCUUCCCUCCAUUGUCUUGCCGAUGGAUCAUCUCUCACCUGAACCAUGGCAGGAGCCUCCCACAGCUUUUCCCACCUCCGACAGUAGAGAGAUCUCCAGAAUGCACACCGACCCUCCGCCUAGUGCCCGUUGCCCAUUCCCAUUGGCUACAGUGAGCAAAGGUUUGGAAGCCGUCUACAUUUGCCAGCCCCUCAGCGUGAGCAGGUACAAGGUGGUGAGGCCUUUGUUCAGCCCAAACAAGCACCCAAGCAGCUUUCCAGGCCCCCACGCAGCCACGGAGCACAGCAACAAAAGGACCUUGGAAAGCUGUGCAAGCCUGGGAUGCUGACUGAACAAAUAUCCCUGAACUGUGGUUUGGCUCCAGGUAUCGGACACCUCUCCUGCGUUCGGG